ACCAUUUGUCAGUGUGUGGUAACUGACCUGUCUAGGUGUCUAUCUACUCUGUCAAAAGGCAGUCGUCAGCACGAAACCCAGUGAGAGAAGAAAAAACCCCAUUAGAGACUGGGCUCUGGAUUUGUAUUGGCUGAGAAGGAAGUGUACGUCAGCUUGUUGUCAUUGCGUGGAGAGGGAUAAAUCAUGCUGGACAGAUUGUAAACUACAUCCUUGUGGAAGGAAAAGGAGCGGACAUACACAGGUCCUUCUCACUGUCACGAUGCGGGGCAUGCAGGAGAGUAUGUGGGUCCUACCCCUGAUACUACUGGAGCUGUUACAGCACUGGGCUGAAGGCGACUCAUUCAGUCAGGUGUGUGACCCAUCAAAAGAUGGCACCAUCUAUAACUACAAUGCUAAGACCCUGAAUGGGAGUCGUUCAGUCUCCCUCCGUGAGUACAUGGGGAAGACCGUCCUCUUCGUCAACGUAGCCUCUUACUGAGGACUCACCUUCCAGUACCUGGAGUUGAAUGCACUACACAAGGAGAUGAAGGAUUAUGGGUUCACCGUUCUCGGGUUCCCCUCCAAUCAGUUUGGAAAACAGGAGCCAGGAGAAAAUCAUGAGAUUCUGGCCACUCUAAAGCAUGUCCGACCAGGAAAUGGAUUCGUUCCAAACUUCCUGCUAUUCCAGAGGGGGGAUGUGAACGGAGACACAGAACAAGGAGUCUACACUUUCCUCAAAAACUCCUGCCCACCGGUAGGGGACAGCUUUGGGAACCCCACCAACAGGCUGUUCUGGGAGCCCCUGAAGAUGAACGACAUCAAGUGGAACUUUGAGAAGUUCCUGGUCGGACCGGACGGAAAGCCCGUGAUGAGGUGGUUCCCCCGGGUCACAGUGUCUGAGGUUCGGAUGGACAUCAUCAAAUACUUCAAUCAACUCUUAUCCCAGUCCACCCAGCAGAACAUUGACUAAGGUUUUACUGUGGUUGUGUCCCAAAUGGCACAGUAUUCCCUAUGUAGUGCAUUACUGGAAAUUCAUUACAUAAGGAAUAGGGCGUCAUUUGCGACGCAGCCUGUGUUGUCAUCAGGGCUGGGGUCAAAUUCCAUUUCAGUUGAGUAAAUUCCUGAAUUGAUAUGGAAUUCAUUCCAUCCCCGAUAGGCUGGAUUAGAUUUUUUUUUUUAAAUAGAUUUAUUAGAGAUCGCUCCUUUAGAUACAUGAAAUCACAGUGGAACGGUUUCCAGGGUUCAGAUUAAACUUCUUUCUAGACUAAACAGCACUUUCAAAUGGAAAUCCUCCAAUGACUAUGCUUCAAAUUUUAAUUUCAGGAGUAGGCUUAAUCUGGAUCAGGAAAACCAAAAUGGUCCUACAACACUUUUUCCCCCAUCCUUUUCAACCCCCCCCCCCUCUUGUAAAAAAAACAAACAGACAAGCCAUACAGAGUAGAAAUCAGUUGAUGGUGGUACUGGGUAAGGGUUGUAGGUCAUAAAGGAGGUGGCAUGUUAUAUGAAGGUGAGGCUUGAAAACAGUGAUUCUGUGGUGCCAAGCCUGAGUUCUAGGGUCCAGGCCAGUCCUUCAGUGCAUUCAGGCUGGGCCUGGUAACCCUAGGAGCCAUGCUACCUCCUCGUCCUGCCACCCAGACCAGAUGCCUAGUUAUCCACUGCUUCUGCCUGACUAAUUCAUGUCAAUAAAUCACAUCAAUGCAACAUGGAGCCAACUUCUUCCUGUAAACGAUGAUGCCCUGUGGUGUGUGGCCAUUCACAUGCUUUCACAAAAUGUCCAGGUCAACAAUGUUUUGUUAAAGAGAAUCUGUUAUUUUUAAGUCAAAAAAAUAAAAUAAAUAAAAACUUUAAUUGAAAAUAAA
Molecule: RNA transcript, 1838 nt
Organism: Oncorhynchus kisutch (coho salmon)
Lineage: Eukaryota; Metazoa; Chordata; Actinopteri; Salmoniformes; Salmonidae
Gene name: glutathione peroxidase 3-like
Exons: 5
Source: RefSeq, a predicted model, not a curated record